RNAcentral lists this ribosomal RNA (776 nucleotides) under uncultured Neocallimastigales. RNAcentral describes it as "partial large subunit ribosomal RNA". It matches the Rfam family "Eukaryotic large subunit ribosomal RNA", at positions 24 to 616 of the family's 3401-position model. Lineage: Eukaryota; Fungi; Neocallimastigomycota; Neocallimastigomycetes; Neocallimastigales. The record is from RNAcentral.
UACGACUACAUAUCAGGCAUAUCAAUAAGCGGAGGAAAAGAAACUAACUAAGGAUUCCCUCAGUAACGGCGAGUGAAGCGGGAAGAGCUCAAAUUUGAAAUCUUCAAGGUUCUACCUUGACGAAUUGUAGUUUAAAGAAGUGUUUUCUGUUGAAGUUUUGGUAAAAGUUCUUUGGAAUAGGACAUCAUAGAGGGUGAGAAUCCCGUAUUUGACCAUUAUUUUCAGCUUUGUGAUACACUUUCAAAGAGUCGGAUUGUUUGGGAAUGCAGUCCAAAAUGGGUGGUAAAUUUCAUCUAAAGCUAAAUAUUGGCGAGAGACCGAUAGCGAACAAGUACCGUGAGGGAAAGAUGAAAAGAACUUUGAAAAGAGAGUUAAACAGUACGUGAAAUUGUCAAAAGGGAAGCGUUUGACACCAGUGUUGUUUUCUCGAAAAUCAAUUAAAAAAGGUUGGAUUUUGUGUUGUAUUGACCUUAACAGCUUUCUUCACUCUUUUCAUGUCUUUUUUUAAUGCACUUUUCGUUUAACAAGUCAACAUCAGUUUCUUUUGUUGUAAAAGGGUCAUUGGAAGGUGGCUUUCUCUUCGGAGAAAGUGUUUAUAGCCUUUGAUCUCUGCAAUCGGAGAGACUGAGGUCUGCAGCGUAGAUCCUUCGGGGUUAGAUACAUUUGUGCUAAGCUACAGCUUUUCAUAGACAACUUGUUGACUAUGUUUAGUCUUGUAACUUACCCGCUUAUGCUAUUUUACCUACGCUUAGGAUGUUGAGCGCAUGUCUCUCUCU